CGGAGAGGUGUCCGAGCGGCCGAAGGAACCCGACUGGAAAUCGGGUAGGCGGCUAAACCCCGCCUCGAGGGUUCAAAUCCCUCCCUCUCCGCCAA
Molecule: transfer RNA, 95 nt
Filed under: Coprothermobacter proteolyticus DSM 5265
Lineage: Bacteria; Pseudomonadati; Coprothermobacterota; Coprothermobacteria; Coprothermobacterales; Coprothermobacteraceae
Description: tRNA-Ser
Rfam family: tRNA
About the family: Transfer RNA (tRNA) molecules are approximately 80 nucleotides in length. Their secondary structure includes four short double-helical elements and three loops (D, anti-codon, and T loops). Further hydrogen bonds mediate the characteristic L-shaped molecular structure. tRNAs have two regions of fundamental functional importance: the anti-codon, which is responsible for specific mRNA codon recognition, and the 3' end, to which the tRNAs corresponding amino acid is attached (by aminoacyl-tRNA synthetases). tRNAs cope with the degeneracy of the genetic code in two manners: having more than one tRNA (with a specific anti-codon) for a particular amino acid; and 'wobble' base-pairing, i.e. permitting non-standard base-pairing at the 3rd anti-codon position.
Source: RNAcentral